RNAcentral lists this small RNA (115 nucleotides) under Erwinia billingiae. RNAcentral's name for it is "tp2". It matches the Rfam family "tp2". The record is from Rfam by way of RNAcentral. Lineage: Bacteria; Pseudomonadati; Pseudomonadota; Gammaproteobacteria; Enterobacterales; Erwiniaceae.
GGUAUUCCUUAUCUGUGUCUAAUACGUUGAAUUGUCUGGAGCCUGUCCCGCUGUGUCCGCAAUCCUUCAGGCACAGUGAGACAGGCUCGUCGUGUAUACCUUGCCAGUGGCAGGG